AGACGAUGAAGUCAAACACAUGUUUAAAAUGGUUUGAUUAAAUGAAAUGAUUACGUGUGUAACGCUUAAUCACGAUUAAUCGUGAUGCGUGUUCCAAUCACAUGUUCAAAUCAUUUGUUCUUAAUCGUCUGAAAACAUCCUCGACGUCAACAAACAUCUGUAAUACAGACUCACGCACUGGUAAGAAAUGGAUUCUGUGCCCAGCUCUUCAGAGUCUGUACAGCGUCACCCUCACCUGCAGUCUCUUUUUUUUUUUUCUUAAAUCCCUUUGCAAAUAUUACUGCAGUGUCUGCACGGACGGGGGGGAAAUUGGAGGUCUUUCAGUGUUAGCUCUGACAGAUUUUUUUUCUUUUCCCUCUGCGACACAUUACAAACAAUUCACUGUCUACUUACCCUGUAUUUAAGGCAAUUUUCUCCCUGCAUGACAGGAAUGUGGCAUACAUUAAAGUCAAGUCAGAGUGGAACCCACUGUUUCAGGCGCUCAGUCAAAAGCCUCACCUCCAACCUCUGCAUUCCAGCACACCUGCUAAUAAUAAAGGAAUCACGCCGUGACAAUCCACAUUGAACCACGCAUACAUGUGCAUGAGACCACCAUUUUAUUCUAUUAUCAGCAUUAGUCCUAAUUACCAUCUGACUGUGGACUAUCAGAAAUACUGGGAGGCUUCACGCUCUGUUAGGGUGAAAGGUACCGCCGUCAGUAUUUCUCUUGUCUUUGUUGCCCGUAGCGUCCAUAGUAAUUGGAAAGUGGUGGUGUGAGAUGGAGCCUUGCCUGGAGGGGGAGGAAUGCAAGACGCUCCCUGACAACUCGGGCUGGAUGUGCUACGCCGGCAACAAGAUCAAAACCACAAGGAACACCCAGCCAUACACGACAUCCACCUAUUAACACCUGCUGGAAAAGGAUGCAACAAAAUGCCCUCUGGUGCGAGGGUUAAUUUGGAGCGCCAUCACAGGACCAAUUACCACAAAGACAAUAAAACCCGUGUUGCUCUACAAAAUCCGAGCACUUCUCUGAAUUAAGUGUUAAAAGAAACAAAAAGAUGUAAAAAUACACAAAGCACAUCCUGCGCCUGAGAAAACUGACUACGAAGAGCCCGCAGGCGAUGUCAUCACGACCAUGUAAUGAAUAUAGUUUCAUCGUUUCUUUUAAAACCUGCUGAUGGAGUGCUGCAGAAUGUCAGGGUUUUGGACACAGCAUCUGAUGUCGCUCCUUCACAAACUGUAGGACAGACGAUUGGAGCACGGCAGAGAGAGUAGAUGAAAGGACACGCAGUGAGCGGAGAGUCGUCAGCCCUCAGGAGUUUAUUUCCUUCUUUCAGUACACAAAGAGGACAGAAUAUUGUACAUAUGUUCUUUGUCAGUUUUUGUGAAUACAAACUAGAUUCAUGGUGGUGUUGGUGAAUAUCGAUCCUUUGAGUCCCUGAAUGCAUCGUCGAUCCCACUUUUCGCACAGCACUACAUGGCCAAACUGCCGAGGGGUGCAAGGAUUUGGGCGGAUUAAACAAAUACGUCGACAUGAGCUUGUCUGAAAAAUACUGCGUCUGUGUCUUCAUCCUUCACAUAUUACCACUGGUUUGUGUGGUAUUUGUUCUCUUUGAUGAACUCCAACCGCUCCCCUGACGGGGUUGAGUCACAGAAAUGGGCAAACAAACGUGGGUUGAUUUUUGGACACAGGAAAUGCCUUAUUUGUGUCGAGUCAUUCACGUGAUGAUGAUGUUGUAUAUAUGAAGCCAUGGAUUGAUAUGUGCUGAAAACGUUAUUAAAGUCACUGCUCCAGGAACCGUGA
This is a long non-coding RNA of Cynoglossus semilaevis (tongue sole), 1783 nucleotides long. RefSeq lists it as uncharacterized. The transcript is spliced from 3 exons. NCBI's taxonomy places the organism in Eukaryota, Metazoa, Chordata, Actinopteri, Pleuronectiformes, Cynoglossidae. The record is from RefSeq and is a predicted model, not a curated record.